RNAcentral lists this non-coding RNA (28 nucleotides) under Mus musculus (house mouse). Lineage: Eukaryota; Metazoa; Chordata; Mammalia; Rodentia; Muridae. The record is from RNAcentral.
UAGCCUAUGUUGAAUUGGCAUUUUGUGA